AUGUCGGCUUCCUACUGCUGCUUCUUGCUACUGUGGUCGCUGCUGGCUGCUCCUCGUGCGACUGCUGCCGGCACGGUUUCUGCUACUAGCGCCGCACCGCGCCUAGGUGCUGCGGCUGCUUGCCGCGGCCGCUCCCCGCUGCUACUGCCGCUGCUCCGCGUAUUGCUUUACCUUACUUGCUGCUGCUCGCAUGCUAUUGCUACUGCCUCUAGCGCCACCGCUGCUCGCAUGCUCUGCCUUGCCACUACGCUGCUGCUUAGCCUUGCGGCUGGCCAUGGCCUUGGCCAUGGCACAGUGUGUGCGUGA
RNAcentral lists this ribosomal RNA (306 nucleotides) under Triticum aestivum (bread wheat). RNAcentral's name for it is "partial small subunit ribosomal RNA". The record is from RNAcentral. Lineage: Eukaryota; Viridiplantae; Streptophyta; Magnoliopsida; Poales; Poaceae.